UUUCUUCUAUUUUUUUCUCUCUACGUUGGUGUUUCAACCAAUAAUCACCGAAGCGAUAUUCUGUCCGAUCGAUUCAGGAACCAACUAACGCAUGCCAAAGUGUUGUACUUUGUGAAUUUCGGUAAAUGGAAUCCAAAGUGCUAUACUUUGUGAGUUCAAUAAAUGGAUGCCAAAGUACUGUCUGAAUAAGACUAUACUUUGUGAAAUUCGUUAAGGUUCGAAUCUCGUGAUCAUCAUUAGGUUUGAUAUGGUUUUACACAAAUACGUAUUCCGUUCUGUUAAACUAUAUGUUUAACCAUCCGAAUACUCCCAACUAUACGCUUACAAUCAAAAUGGAUGCUUGAUCAUCAGAAGAUCCAAAAUAAUAAAGUAUAUGCUUAAUUAUCAGAAGGAGUAGAAUCAAGAAGCUUGUUAGUUCAAUAUUGCAUGCUUAUAAUGGAUUAAGUUUUUGUAGUCUUUAAUUACAUCCGGUAUGUGGGGUAUUGUGCACAUUACUGUUGUUUUAUCACUUUAGGUGGGCGAGUCUAAAAUUUGUGAUAUUCGUCAUUAUUGGGUGACAGGACCCAAUAGUGGUAUGACCACAGUCACAGAAACGAGUCGAGUGACAAAUACUGUGGGUAGUUGGUUGACAUAUAAACAUUGUAAUCUCCCUUAAUAUUGUAAAUUAUAACAACGUGUCAUUUUAUUUAAAAUGAAUGAUUCACUCAGUAUUUCCCGCUGACAAAACCUUUUUAAAACGCGUUUCAAGUGAUUACAGUAGAUUGGAAUAAGAAUUGGAUACGGCACCAACAAGGUUUACAGAAGUGGCUUGAUUUAUCAAAUUAAAAAAAAUUAAGAAAAGUUGUUUUAUGUAAUCAAGUUUAUAUUAAAAGCUACCUUUGUAAAACAUGGAAUUUAUUCCAUCUAUUUAAAUAAAAUCCGGUGUUUCUAAACUCUGAUAUUUUUCCUAACUCACGGUCCUGAUGAAAUUCCGCUGCAAUGUUUUUCAAAAAUAAUCAUCGGUACCACUUGGCUGUUCGCGACCUCCGAUUCCGUCCAGGGUGGGUCAGGGGUCGUGACACUAAGUGCGGACUACAUGAGAUUCACUAAGUGCGGACGAUAUUAGAUUCACUAAGUGCGGACACUAUGAGAUUCACUAAGUGGGGACACUAUGUUUAAACACAAGUGCGGACCAUUAUGUUAAUCACAAAUGUGGACCUCAUGUUCAUUCAAUAAAUGCGGAUCAUGUUUGUUUCAAUAUGGACAGACCAUAUAAUUUUUAACAAAUGCGGACAUUAUAGUUAAGUGCAGACAACUUAUAACUCAAUAAACUUUACAAUCAACAAAUACGGAGCAUUAAAUGCAGACAAGUCAUCAUGCCAAAUCCACAAUGCAAUGUAACAGUUCUUCGUCUAAACUCUAAUCUCCUAAAUCAAUAGUUCUACGAAUCAAAACAAGUUUUAGUAUUCUUAGCAUGUCAACAAUAGUUCCAUUGUCUAGCAGAAAUCAUGCAUUUAUUCAUUCUAUAACAAUCAAUCACAUAUUCAUUAGGGCAUGAAAACCAAUCACAGGUUGUUUGGACGUCUAGGGUUUAUAUGAAUCCAAGAACAACAUAACAAGUGUGAUGUAAACCUUACCUUAGAUUGAUUUAGAGUUGGUUCUUGAAGAAUUGAGGGACCAAAGAUCAAUGAUUUUUGUGAGGACUUGGAGUAGCCAAAAGAUGAGAGAAAUGAUUUGAGAAAAUAAACUGUCGUAUAGUGAAGUUGUGGGGAGUUUAGGGUUUUGAGUGGUUUAUAAGAGUUUCUAACUGACGUGGUGCGGUGUAGGUAUAUUUUUGAGAUAUAUAUUAGUUCUUUUUAUUCGCAAAUUCAAGUGUAAAAUUUAUAAAACACGAUAUAAUACUAUCACUCUACACACACGUUAGGGCAAGUGCACCCGACGUAGUAUAGUGUUGGAAAGAUACCGACAUCGUCCAAGGACACAUGUGCUUUUAGUACCAGCUUAUCGUUAACGUCUAAUCUAACCAAAUUUGAUGAAAAGGUUUUAAAGCUAUAAAAAGAUAAACUA
Molecule: long non-coding RNA, 2046 nt
Filed under: Helianthus annuus (common sunflower)
Lineage: Eukaryota; Viridiplantae; Streptophyta; Magnoliopsida; Asterales; Asteraceae
Description: hypothetical non coding rna
Source: RNAcentral